RNA transcript from Hevea brasiliensis (rubber tree), 888 nucleotides. RefSeq lists it as uncharacterized. The record is from RefSeq and is a predicted model, not a curated record. Lineage: Eukaryota; Viridiplantae; Streptophyta; Magnoliopsida; Malpighiales; Euphorbiaceae. The transcript is spliced from 3 exons.
AUUUAUAUUUUCUUUUUAAUAAAAAUAUAAUUAUUUGAAAUUUAUUAAAUUUUUAUAAAUAAUAGUUGAAAUAAUUAUAGUAUUUAAAAUUAUAGGAAAAAAAAUUUGUUUAUCAUAAACACAUAUACAAUAUUAAAUGUAAUUUUAAUUAUUAUUAUUUUCAUUAUUUAUAAUUUACUUUUUAAAGGAUAAAUAUAAUAUAUUAAAAUAUAUUUAAAAAUAAAUUAUUUUAUUUAUCAAAACGAGUCAAACUGAGUUAAGUACCGACUGACUCAUAUGAGUUUGAAGCAUCAUCUAAUGUAUACUGAUCACCAUUAGUAAGUCUCCACGAGUUCAGAUUCAGGAGAGAUUUUUGUUGGAACUAGUUGUGCUGGGAACCACAGGGGUAUCUAAAAGCUCACCUCUCCUCAAGAAUUAGAUAUUCAGUUGUGCAGGGAACUCAAGUCCUUCCCAGAUGAAGGCUUCCCUGUUGCCCUGCAAGAACUCUCUGUUUACUGCUGUCCUCUACUGCGAGACCGUUGCUUAAAAGAUAAAUUAAUGAAGGCUCUGCAGCAACCCAGCAAUCAGAAUUCCGUGUGAGUUGGGACAAACAAGGAUUGUAGGAUCUGCAGCAUUCCAUCAAUCAGCCCUAAUGGAUGGUAUUCCUCACGCGCCUCCACUUCGGGCUUUUCCUCUCUAUAUAAGCCCCUUGGCAUCUCCGCUUACAAACCCCCACAAGAAGCUUUCAUAGAGAGAGAGAGAGAGAGAAGAGCCUUUUAGAGGUUCCGAAGAGGCAGCAGAGGUUUCUUCGGCUGCUGUGGAAAGGUUUCUUUCGACAAGAACAGAAAAGUUUCUGCAGCAGUUUGCUUCCUUGUUUGUUCCUCUAAAGUCUCUCAAUUUGAAUCGCAA